This is an RNA transcript of Mustela erminea (ermine), 2736 nucleotides long. It is a transcript of the gene named inositol polyphosphate-5-phosphatase K, with no coding region annotated. The record is from RefSeq and is a predicted model, not a curated record. NCBI's taxonomy places the organism in Eukaryota, Metazoa, Chordata, Mammalia, Carnivora, Mustelidae. The transcript has 12 exons.
CGGAGGGUCGGAAUCCGGAAGGAAAACAAUCCGGGGAGAGUAAGGUAGCCGGGACCUGCUGCCAGAGGGAGGUGGAUCGGGCCAGGAGCGGCCGGGGCGCGGCGUGGGGACGAUGGCCGCCGAGAGCCCACGGAAGACGACUGAACCGAGAAGCAAGACGCUCAGCAUACAUGUUGUGACAUGGAACGUGGCCUCCGCAGCACCUCCUCUGGACCUCAGUGAUCUCUUGCAGCUGAACAAAGACAACCUGAAUCUGGACAUGUAUGUCAUUGGUUUGCAGGAAAUGAACUGUGGGAUCAUGAGCCUCCUUUCUGACACUGCCUUUGAAGACCCAUGGAGCAGUUUCUUCAUGGAUGUGCUUUCCCCUCUGAGCUUCGUCAAGGUUUCCAGUGUCCGCAUGCAGGGGCUCCUCUUACUGUUCUUUGCCAAGCAUCAGCAUUUGCCCUUUGUCCAGAUCCUCUCUACUAAAUCCACCCCCACUGGCCUCUUCGGGUACUGGGGGAACAAAGGGGGCGUCAACAUCUGCCUGAAGCUCUAUGGCUACUACAUCAGCAUCGUCAACUGCCACCUGCCCCCUCACAUGGCCAACAAUGACCAGCGGCUGGAGCACUUUGAUCGGAUCCUGGAGAUGCAAAAUUUUGAGGGACAGGAUAUCCCCAACAUCCUGGACCAUGACCUCAUUCUGUGGUUUGGAGACAUGAACUUCCGGAUUGAUGACUUUGGGCUGCAUUUUGUCCGGGAAUCCAUAAAAAAUCGGCGUUACAGUGACCUGUGGGAGAAGGAUCAGCUCAGCAUCGCCAAGAGACACGAUCCACUGCUCCGGGAGUUCCAGGAGGGCCCCCUGCUCUUCCCACCCACCUACAAGUUUGAUAAGAACUCCAACAACUAUGACACCAGUGAGAAAAAACGCAAGCCUGCUUGGACCGACCGUAUCCUGUGGAGGUUGAAGCGGCAGCCCCAGGCCAACCCCCAAACCCAGAGGCCACCAGCCCCCCACUUCUUCCUGUCUCUGAGGAGCUAUGUCAGCCACAUGAUGUACUGUGUCAGUGACCAUAAGCCUGUGACCAGCACCUUUGACUUGGAGCUGAAGCCUUUGGUGUCUACCCCACCGAUCACCCUGAUGCCUGAGGGGCUGUGGACCAUGGAGAACGUCAUGUUGAUCAGCUACUCCUUGACCCCAGACUUUCCCAGCAGCCCCUGGGACUGGAUUGGACUAUACAAGGUGGGGCUGCGCCACAUUAAUGACUAUGUGUCCUAUGUCUGGGUCAGGGACAACCAGGUCUCCUUCAGCGACGGGCUGAGCCAGGUACCUGCCUGCUUCCCUGAGAUAGGUUUACUUCAAUAUCAGCGACAUCCCUGAGACCGAGGGCCAGUUUCUCCUCUGUUACUAUAGCAACAAUCUGCAUUCUGUGGUGGGAAUAAGCAAACCCUUCAAGAUCCAGCCUGGCUCCUCCUUGGCAGAGGACCCACUGGGUGAAUCCCAACCACACAUCUGAGCCUGGAUAAGAGUGGUUCCAGGGCGGAGGCCAGAGCUGGCAGCCAGCUCUGCCCAUCACUGCCAGGAGCACCAGGGGCCAGGCCCAGCCCCCAGAGGAGGUAGCAGGUAUCCUCCACCUCCCAGGGGGAGCUCUAGCCACACUCCUUGGCUCUCUCUGGUCCAGAUCUCUAGAAUUGGCCCCUUAAAUACAGGUUUUUGUUGCUGAGAUAUGAGUGAAACCAACUAGUUUAUCAACACAGAAGACCUGGGACAGACCCCUGGAUGUGGGAAGGACCCUUCAGCCUAUAUCUCGUUUCUCGAUUUUCCCCCCACACACUUCCAGUCCUGCCCAAGCAGGCCUGCCAGGCACAUGCCCCAUCUGGCACAGGCCUGCAUUCUUGUCACGGCAUCCUGGGCCUCAGGCUGCCUAGGAGGGGGAGAUGCUCACAUUUGCACAGGCCCCAUAGACUGCUUGGCACAAGCAGCCUGGGUUCUGGGAGUCUUGGCAUCUCGUUGCCCAUCCCCCUGGGGGAUGGGCAGAGGGUGUGGGAUCCCUGCUUUUGGCAAAAGCAAUUAGACUAAGUGGGCAGGAUGAAGGGCCCCUCCACCCAAGCUCUUAGUAAGUGUUGUGGGUAGGAGCCUGACCCAUGGAGUCUGAUGCAGAAGUUCACUGUCUGAGCAAAGGAUUGGCCCCAGAUUGGCUUGUGCUGGUGGGUCAGGUUCCAUGCCCUAACCUGCCCUCCUGUGAAAGGGUUGGCAGGUGAUAGAGGAGCUGUGGCCACAGACUUUUCCAGGGGCUUUCUUGCCCAGUCGAGCUCAUCUGCUCCUUCCCACCCUUACCUGCAGUGACUGGCCAGGAACCCACCCUCUCUCUAGACUGCCCUAGCACCUGAAGCAGAGGCAGGCAGAGAAGGGAGCCAGGAUCCAGUCAUUUUGGAGAAUCCGGCCUUGAGGGUCUUCUGAGAGCAUUCUCUGGGUGCUGUGUGGGCACACAGUCCCACUCCUGCCACUUGCCUCCAGCCACUGGUGAUUCAAUGGCCCUUCUCCCAGGAGAAGACACCUCAGGGAACCUGCUCUGUGACGGUCACAUCCAUCCUCUGACCUGAGACUGAGGGACACUCCAGUCACUCUGUGAUCCAUACUCCACCCUGGGAUCCGUGUGUACCAUCAAGAAUUGUCCCCCUGGCUUCUAGUGGCCCAUGGCUGUGUUCUGUGUCUGUUGUAUUGGGGGAUCAUUAGAAACAUGACUUUUACACUUG